Molecule: ribosomal RNA, 242 nt
Filed under: Escherichia coli
Lineage: Bacteria; Pseudomonadati; Pseudomonadota; Gammaproteobacteria; Enterobacterales; Enterobacteriaceae
Also listed under: 1 other name
Description: partial 16S ribosomal RNA
Rfam family: Bacterial small subunit ribosomal RNA
Source: RNAcentral
GUCCGGAUUGGAGUCUGCAACUCGACUCCAUGAAGUCGGAAUCGCUAGUAAUCGUGGAUCAGAAUGCCACGGUGAAUACGUUCCCGGGCCUUGUACACACCGCCCGUCACACCAUGGGAGUGGGUUGCAAAAGAAGUAGGUAGCUUAACCUUCGGGAGGGCGCUUACCACUUUGUGAUUCAUGACUGGGGUGAAGUCGUAACAAGGUAACCGUAGGGGAACCUGCGGUUGGAUCACCUCCUU